Molecule: ribosomal RNA, 440 nt
Filed under: uncultured bacterium
Lineage: Bacteria
Description: partial 16S ribosomal RNA
Rfam family: Bacterial small subunit ribosomal RNA
Source: RNAcentral
CCUACGGGAGGCAGCAGUGGGGAAUAUUGCACAAUGGGGGAAACCCUGAUGCAGCGACGCCGCGUGAGUGAAGAAGUAUUUCGGUACGUAAAGCUCUAUCAGCAGGGAAGAAAAUGACGGUACCUGACUAAGAAGCCCCGGCUAACUACGUGCCAGCAGCCGCGGUAAUACGUCGGGGGCAAGCGUUAUCCGGAUUUACUGGGUGUAAAGGGAGCGUAGACGGCAGCGCAAGUCUGGAGUGAAAUCCCAUGGCUUAACCAUGGAAGUUCUUUGGAAACUGUGCAGCGAGAGUGCAGGAGAGGUAAGCGGAAUUCCUGGUGUAGCGGUGAAAUGCGUAGAUAUUAGGAGGAACACCAGUGGCGAAGGCGGCUUACUGGACUGUAACUGACGUUGAGGCUCGAAAGCGUGGGGAGCAAACAGGAUUAGAUACCCGAGUAGUC